AUUCGACGCAACGCGAAGNACCUUACCUGGGCUUGAGCUGCAGGUGACUGGCUUGGNAACAGGCCUUUCCCUCUGGGACACCUGUAGAGGUGCUGCAUGGCUGUCGUCAGCUCGUGUCGUGAGAUGUUGGGUUAAGUCCCGCAACGAGCGCAACCCUUGCCUCUAGUUGCCAUCGGGUCAAGCCGGGCACUCUAGGGGGACUGCCCCGGAAAACGGGGAGGAAGGUGGGGAUGACGUCAAGUCAUCAUGGCCUUUAUGUCCAGGGCUACACACGUGCUACAAUGGACGGCACAGAGGGCUGCGAACCCGCGAGGGGGAGCCAAUCCCAUAAAUCCGUCCUCAGUUCGGAUUGCAGUCUGCAACUCGACUGCAUGAAGUUGGAAUCGCUAGUAAUCGCGGAUCAGCACGCCGCGGUGAAUACGUUCCCGGGCCUUGUGCACACCGCCCGUCACAUCACGAAAGUCGGUUGCACUCGAAAUCGCUGAGCUAACCCGCAAGG
Molecule: ribosomal RNA, 499 nt
Filed under: uncultured bacterium
Lineage: Bacteria
Description: bacterial SSU rRNA
Rfam family: Bacterial small subunit ribosomal RNA
Source: RNAcentral